CAUAGAUGAUGUACGAACCAUAUGCCAUCACCAAAUCUAUCUGUCCUUUCUGGAGCCAGGAGUACUUUGUUGCAGAUGCUAGCCUCGACCCAAUGGCCCGAGCUGAGCACGCGACAAACUCCGACCCACUAGCCCGAGCCGAGGACGUGACAAAUGGCCACACAUCUCUAGGGUUAACCCCAUAGGACAUGUAAAGCCGGCCUUUUUAUUCAUACACAUUCAUGUCAUUCCAAACUCAGGUUGUGGCAGAGACAAAUAAUCUACCAAUUACUAAUACACACCAAUCAAAUAUUCUCUAAACCCCAAGUUCCUUACUACUCAAUCUUAAGCCCUGUCUACUCAGACGCAAGCGAAAAGGAACUAACAGCCGGAGAAGAAAAGUAGGAUUUUUUUAUGGAAAUUAAUAAAUAAGGAAAAAUGGAAGAAAAUGAAGAAAUUAAAGGAAGAAGAAGAAGAAAAUGAGGAGGAAAAGAGAGAAGAGAAGGGAGAGAAGAGAGGGAAGAGGAGAGAGGAAGGUCCGACGGUGCACGGCCUGCGGUGGCGCGGCUUAUGGCGUGGUGGCGCGGCUGGCGGCAACGUGAACUCGGUGAUUCGGCCGGUACACAGAGGAAACAGAGAGGGAGAAGGAAAGGGGCAGGGCCCCCAGCUGCCCUGGGUGGCAGCCCUCUUGGCCAAAGCGAGCGGCGAGGGGGGG
RNAcentral lists this long non-coding RNA (694 nucleotides) under Phoenix dactylifera (date palm). RNAcentral's name for it is "long non-coding RNA (PDAC_LNC019348)". Lineage: Eukaryota; Viridiplantae; Streptophyta; Magnoliopsida; Arecales; Arecaceae. The record is from RNAcentral.